GUGGGGAAUUUUGGACAAUGGGCGCAAGCCUGAUCCAGCAAUGCCGCGUGCAGGAAGAAGGCCUUCGGGUUGUAAACUGCUUUUGUACGGAACGAAACGGUCCGGGUUAAUACCCUGGGCUAAUGACGGUACCGUAAGAAUAAGCACCGGCUAACUACGUGCCAGCAGCCGCGGUAAUACGUAGGGUGCAAGCGUUAAUCGGAAUUACUGGGCGUAAAGCGUGCGCAGGCGGUUUUGUAAGACAGGCGUGAAAUCCCCGGGCUCAACCUGGGAAUUGCGCUUGUGACUGCAAGGCUGGAGUGCAGCAGAGGGGGAUGGAAUUCCGCGUGUAGCAGUGAAAUGCGUAGAUAUGCGGAGGAACACCGAUGGCGAAGGCAAUCCCCUGGGCCUGCACUGACGCUCAUGCACGAAAGCGUGGGGAGCAAACAGGAUUAGAAACCCGAGUAGUCC
RNAcentral lists this ribosomal RNA (450 nucleotides) under uncultured bacterium. RNAcentral describes it as "partial 16S ribosomal RNA". It matches the Rfam family "Bacterial small subunit ribosomal RNA", at positions 354 to 796 of the family's 1533-position model. The record is from RNAcentral.